GAUUAGAUACCCUGGUAGUCCACGCCGUAAACGAUGCUAACUCGUUUUUGGGUUUUCGGAUUCAGAGACUAAGCGAAAGUGAUAAGUUAGCCACCUGGGGAGUACGUUCGCAAGAAUGAAACUCAAAGGAAUUGACGGGGGCCCGCACAAGCGGUGGAUUAUGUGGUUUAAUUCGAUGAUACGCGAGGAACCUUACCAAGGCUUAAAUGGGAAUUGAUCGGUUUAGAAAUAGACCUUCCUUCGGGCAAUUUUCAAGGUGCUGCAUGGUUGUCGUCAGCUCGUGCCGUGAGGUGUUAGGUUAAGUCCUGCAACGAGCGCAACCCCUGUCACUAGUUGCUAGCAUUAAGUUGAGGACUCUAGUGAGACUGCCUACGCAAGUAGAGAGGAAGGUGGGGAUGACGUCAAAUCAUCACGGCCCUUACGCCUUGGGCCACACACGUAAUACAAUGGCCGGUACAGAGGGCAGCUACACAGCGAUGUGAUGCAAAUCUCGAAAGCCGGUCUCAGUUCGGAUUGGAGUCUGCAACUCGACUCUAUGAAGCUGGAAUCGCUAGUAAUCGCGCAUCAGCCAUGGCGCGGUGAAUACGUUCCCGGGCCUUGUACACACCGCCCG
This 613-nucleotide ribosomal RNA is filed under the name Chryseobacterium sp. CRIB-55. RNAcentral's name for it is "bacterial SSU rRNA". It matches the Rfam family "Bacterial small subunit ribosomal RNA", at positions 776 to 1396 of the family's 1533-position model. Lineage: Bacteria; Pseudomonadati; Bacteroidota; Flavobacteriia; Flavobacteriales; Weeksellaceae. The record is from RNAcentral.